RNAcentral lists this ribosomal RNA (1769 nucleotides) under Triticum aestivum (bread wheat). Its description in RNAcentral is "partial small subunit ribosomal RNA". The record is from RNAcentral. Lineage: Eukaryota; Viridiplantae; Streptophyta; Magnoliopsida; Poales; Poaceae.
GUUGGUUGUCGCCUUCCGUAAGAAGGGGAGAGGGGACUUAGUAGUUUUUCUUUUCUUUGCUCUGGAAGGAGAGCUCUGCUUGGGAUCUAGGCAAGACUGGAAGGCAGACGAAGGACAAGGCAUGCUGUACCGACGAGCAGCCGCAGAAGUAGGCGGUGAGCCACGCCUCGAGAGGGCGAGAGUGGGAGCGACCCACUACGAUCUAGCGAAGCAGGUGAUGUUCCGCAUGCGCCCACUCCGACAACGCCUCCUCCAUUACCUGCCGUGCGUUAGCCGCUAGAGGAGAUGGACGUGGUUGUAUUCGUAGCGGCAGAGAGAGUCCCAACGACUUGGCGGGCGACACAGGGCAGAGAUGGAGGUGACCGGGCUCGCUAAGUACUGCCGCAGCAACUCGGUCCACUCAGUCGGCAAGUAGUAGCGCCGAGUGCCGGCGAGGUAUGAAAAGGUCCGCGUCCGGGGGAAGCAACCUCUAUCGACAGGCCGUAAGAUGAUAAUGGGGUACCUGAUAAAGGAGAUGUGUCGGAGACUGAGUCUCUUCAGAGGAACAGAGUACGCUGAGGGCGGAACGAAGCUACCACCCCUGUUCUUGGGCCUGCACCUAAACAUGAAGGUGGGCAUGGCAGAGGUCGUCGACGCUAGAUACACCGCACUACUGUAACCGGAGGAAACGGCACCGUUCCCCCUCAAGCACCACCGCGUCGAGUGUAAACCGCCGGUCGAGACGCACGAUGUGGUAUUUGGACCCCUCCUCGUCCCGCUGUACUUAACCUCGCAGCUUUUAUACGGGAAUGGACUGCCGCUACUGUAGGGUUUGGACGACGCACCAAGCACCGUUUGCCUGCGGCAGCAGGGGAUACCACUAACAAUGGACACGACCCGCCUAACGAUGGACCCGAACGAAAAACAGCCACAGUAACUGUUCGCCUGCUUCGGGGGCACGAUGCAGGGGAAUGGACUACCAGACCUAAGGUUAGCAGACACGUAACUGGGUCCCAUAGGACUGGGCCGGGCAGCACAGACACAGAGACUCAGGUCGUACUAAUUGGAGUAUACACAACCACUAGUACGACCGACGUCACACACACGGUCAAGAAUAAGACGAAAGUGAUAGUGUCAUACCUGAAACUGGUUGAAUUCCCUUUUCUUUACCUACUUUACAAAGUGGUACCUUCUGUCGUUCAAGAGCCGACGAGAACUAAAACUGUUCGCAGAAGGCGUACACGAUGGUCUCAAGGGAUGGUAGUCGAACCAAUUCGGACUACAACAAAUGAAGGCCAACUUACCACCAUUAUUUGAAAAGACCGACUAACUCUAACUGUACUUCUUCCUUCACGACCCCAGUUGGUCAGAGAUGUAGAAACUUCUUCUUCUUCUUCUCUUUACGAGGUAACUGUACCGGGUGACCUCUAGUAAAGGACCAAUGAGGAAACAAGGGUCGGGCAAGUGGGCUAUGAACCUGGUCGUACGGUAGUCUUCAGACCUUGAGUCGCUCUUCAAUGUCUUAUAUUCUGAACUCGUUCGAUUUCUUUUCUAUAAACAACUUCUCACUUCUCGAAUACGAUCCUUAACAAGCCGUCUAUCUUCUUUGGUCCUUAUGAAAAAUCAUAACCAGACAGAACAGAAUUAAAAAAUAAGACCCACGUAACCUUUUCGAAUGGAAAGCCCACAUGAAACCUGGUUAACUACAUAAAACAUAUUGUCCUAAAGGAGAAGUAUUGAUCAUUGGUCCAAAUGUAGGAAUUAGUUGUCUCCUUCAUCAAUGUUUUUCC